AUUGAACGCUGGCGGAAUGCUUUACACAUGCAAGUCGAACGGUAACAGGUUAAGCUGACGAGUGGCGAACGGGUGAGUAAUAUAUCGGAACGUGCCCAGUCGUGGGGGAUAACGUAGCGAAAGCUACGCUAAUACCGCAUACGAUCUACGGAUGAAAGCGGGGGAUCGCAAGACCUCGCGCUAUUGGAGCGGCGGAUAUCAGAUUAGGUUGUUGGUGAGGUAAAAGCUCACCAAGCCUGCGAUCUGUAGCUGGUCUGAGAGGACGACCCGCCACACUGGAACUGAGACACGGUCCAGACUCCUACGGGGGGCAGCAGUGGGGAAUUUUGGACAAGGGACGAGAGUCUGAUCCAGCAAUGCCGCGUGCAGGACGAAGGCGUUCGGGUUGUAAACUGCUUUUGUACGGAACGAAGCCGUGAGCUCUAAUACAGUUGGCUAAUGACGGUACCGUAAGAAUAAGCACCGGCUAACUACGUGCCAGCCGCCGCCGUAA
RNAcentral lists this ribosomal RNA (493 nucleotides) under uncultured bacterium. RNAcentral's name for it is "partial 16S ribosomal RNA". It matches the Rfam family "Bacterial small subunit ribosomal RNA", at positions 30 to 523 of the family's 1533-position model. The record is from RNAcentral.